GACGAACGCUGGCGGCGUGCCUAACACAUGCAAGUCAAGGAGAAUUGAAAAGCUUGCUUUUCAAGGACACUGGCGCACGGGUGAGUAACGCGUAGGCAAUCUACCUUUUACACUGACAUAACAGAUCUAACGAACUGCUAAUAUCAGAUGUAAUGUUUCUCUGGCAUCAGAGAAAUAUCAAAGGCUUCGGCCGGUAAAAGAUGAGCCUGCGUCCCAUUAGGUAGUUGGUAGGGUAACGGCCUACCAAGCCAACGAUGGGUAGCUGGUCUGAGAGGAUGAUCAGCCACAUUGGGACUGAGACACGGCCCAG
This 310-nucleotide ribosomal RNA is filed under the name uncultured bacterium. Its description in RNAcentral is "bacterial SSU rRNA". It matches the Rfam family "Bacterial small subunit ribosomal RNA", at positions 28 to 334 of the family's 1533-position model. The record is from RNAcentral.